RNAcentral lists this ribosomal RNA (489 nucleotides) under uncultured bacterium. Its description in RNAcentral is "partial 16S ribosomal RNA". It matches the Rfam family "Bacterial small subunit ribosomal RNA", at positions 28 to 507 of the family's 1533-position model. The record is from RNAcentral.
GAUGAACGCUAGCGGGAGGCCUAACACAUGCAAGCCGAGCGGGAUUUGUUGGUUAGCUUGCUAACUAACAAUGAGAGCGGCGUACGGGUGCGUAGCACGUGUGCAACCUGCCUUUAUCUGGGGGAUAGCCUUUCGAAAGGAAGAUUAAUACCCCAUAACAUAUUGAUUGGCAUCAGUUAAUAUUGAAAGCUCCGGCGGAUAGAGAUGGGCACGCGUAAGAUUAGCUAGUUGGUGAGGUAACGGCUCACCAAGGCUGCGAUCUUUAGGGGGCCUGAGAGGGUGAUCCCCCACACUGGUACUGAGACACGGACCAGACUCCUACGGGAGGCAGCAGUGAGGAAUAUUGGACAAUGGGUGAGAGCCUGAUCCAGCCAUCCCGCGUGAAGGACUAAGGACCUAUGGGUUGUAAACUUCUUUUAUACAGGGAUAAACCUACUCUCGUGAGGGUAGCUGAAGGUACUGUAUGAAUAAGCACCGGCUAACUCCGUG